Molecule: unclassified non-coding RNA, 315 nt
Filed under: plant metagenome
Description: partial contains 5.8S ribosomal RNA, internal transcribed spacer 2, and large subunit ribosomal RNA
Rfam family: 5.8S ribosomal RNA (bases 1-105)
Source: RNAcentral
AAAAUGCGAUAAGUAAUGUGAAUUGCAGAAUUCAGUGAAUCAUCGAAUCUUUGAACGCACAUUGCGCCCGCCAGUAUUCUUGCGGGCAUGCCUGUUCGAGCGUCAUUUCAACCCUCAAGCCCCCGGGUUUGGUGUUGGGGAUCGGGCUGCGGUUCUACCGCGUCCCGGCCCCGAAAUCUAGUGGCGGUCUCGCUGCAGCCUCCAUUGCGUAGUAGCUAACACCUCGCAACUGGAACGCGGCGCGGCCAAGCCGUUAAACCCCCAACUUCUGAAUGUUGACCUCGGAUCAGGUAGGAAUACCCGCUGAACUUAAGC